CCGGGGGKGAAWRGCGGCCCCCCUGGACAGAUAYUGACAYUCWGAUKYGAAAGCGUKGGGRAGCAAACAGGAUUAGAUACCCUGGUAGUYCACGCCGUAAACGAUGUCUACUUGGAGGUUGUGGCCUUGAGCCGUGGCUUUCGGAGCUAACGCGUUAAGUAGACCGCCUGGGGAGUACGGUCGCAAGAUUAAAACUCAAAUGAAUUGACGGGGGCCCGCACAAGCGGUGGAGCAUGUGGUUUAAUUYGAUGCAACGCGAAGAACCUUACCUACUCUUGACAUCCAGAGAACUUUCCAGAGAUGGAUUGGUGCCUUCGGGAACUYUGAGACAGGUGCUGCAUGGCUGUCGUCAGCUCGUGUUGUGAAAUGUUGGGUUAAGUCCCGCAACGAGCGCAACCCUUAUCCUUGUUUGCCAGCGAGUAAUGUCGGGAACUCCAGGGAGACUGCCGGUGAUAAACCGGAGGAAGGUGGGGACGACGUCAAGUCAUCAUGGCCCUUACGAGUAGGGCUACACACGUGCUACAAUGGCGCAUACAGAGGGCGGCCAACUUGCGAAAGUGAGCGAAUCCCAAAAAGUGCGUCGUAGUCCGGAUUGGAGUCUGCAACUCGACUCCAUGAAGUCGGAAUCGCUAGUAAUCGUGGAUCAGAAUGCCACGGUGAAUACGUUCCCGGGCCUUGUACACACCGCCCGUCACACCAUGGGAGUGGGCUGCAAAAGAAGUAGGUAGUUUAACCUUCGGGGGGACGCUUWUCUYARCKAUKKKKUCC
Molecule: ribosomal RNA, 768 nt
Filed under: Vibrio azureus
Lineage: Bacteria; Pseudomonadati; Pseudomonadota; Gammaproteobacteria; Vibrionales; Vibrionaceae
Description: partial 16S ribosomal RNA
Rfam family: Bacterial small subunit ribosomal RNA
Source: RNAcentral